AUGAUGUUUGUGAACGAAGGAGUGAAAGGCUGCCAAAAUAAGGUCAACAACCCUCCUGCAUUCUUAACAAAGAACAUAACAAUAUUUCUGAUAUUACAGUGAAGAAAAAAAAACUGAUGAGGGAACUCACCUUCUCUAGCUUUGUUUCUCCAAUUUUCUCUCUGCUGUUAGCCUCUUCAAUCCUGAUAAAAAAGAAAAAGUAAUCA
Molecule: long non-coding RNA, 206 nt
Filed under: Elaeis guineensis (African oil palm)
Lineage: Eukaryota; Viridiplantae; Streptophyta; Magnoliopsida; Arecales; Arecaceae
Description: long non-coding RNA (EGUI_LNC006709)
Source: RNAcentral